AUACAGAGGGUGCGAGCGUUAAUCGGAAUUACUGGGCGUAAAGCGCGCGUAGGCGGCUUGGUCAGUCGGAUGUGAAAGCCCCGGGCUUAACCUGGGAAUUGCAUUCGAUACUGCCAGGCUAGAAUGUAGUAGAGGGAAGUGGAAUUCCGGGUGUAGCGGUGAAAUGCGUAGAUAUCCGGAGGAACAUCAGUGGCGAAGGCGACUUCCUGGACUAACAUUGACGCUGAGGUGCGAAAGCGUGAGGAGCAAACAGGAUUAGAAACCCCAGUAGUCC
This 274-nucleotide ribosomal RNA is filed under the name uncultured bacterium. Its description in RNAcentral is "partial 16S ribosomal RNA". It matches the Rfam family "Bacterial small subunit ribosomal RNA", at positions 523 to 796 of the family's 1533-position model. The record is from RNAcentral.